UACAGAGGUCUCAAGCGUUGUUCGGAUUCAUUGGGCGUAAAGGGUGCGUAGGUGGCGGGGCAAGUCUGGUGUGAAAUCUCGGAGCUCAACUCCGAAACUGCACUGGAUACUGCCUUGCUUGAGUACUGGAGAGGAGAUUGGAAUUUACGGUGUAGCAGUGAAAUGCGUAGAUAUCGGGAGGAACACCUGUGGCGAAAGCGGCUCACUGGACCACAACUGACGCUGAGGCGCGAAAGCUAGGGGAGCAAACAGG
This 253-nucleotide ribosomal RNA is filed under the name uncultured bacterium. RNAcentral describes it as "partial 16S ribosomal RNA". It matches the Rfam family "Bacterial small subunit ribosomal RNA", at positions 524 to 776 of the family's 1533-position model. The record is from RNAcentral.